AAAAGGCAUUCCUACCCAAUUUGACCCUGCCCUCCUGCCAGCCAGGCCAGAGGGGAGAGCCGGUUGGUUUGGGUUCGGUCAGAGUCCGGUCGGAACCUCUUCCCCUCCCCCCCCCACCCCGCGCAACCCCCACGCGCCGGACCCCACGCGCCACUAUAUGUCGCGUCCCCUCAGCGUCCCUUCCCUUCCCUUCCCUUCCCUUCUUCUCCCCCAAUUCCCAACCUUCGCGUCCGUCGCUUUCGCCCAUCCGCUUUCCCUCUCUUUUUACUUCACUCCCCCCCUCCCCCACUCGGCCACUCGCUCACUCGGUCGCUCGGCUCGGUGACUCGGUCCCUCGCCUCCGCCGCCGUCGAUCGGAGCGCACUAAGGCGAGCUCCCGCCUCCCCCGCGGCGGCGAUUCGGGCGUCGCUUUCCUUCCUUCGCGAGGUGUGAUUGUAUCGGGAGCGGGUUGGUAGGGCCCCCCAC
RNAcentral lists this long non-coding RNA (465 nucleotides) under Eucalyptus grandis. Its description in RNAcentral is "long non-coding RNA (EGRA_LNC005872)". Lineage: Eukaryota; Viridiplantae; Streptophyta; Magnoliopsida; Myrtales; Myrtaceae. The record is from RNAcentral.